CCGAGUUUACAACUCCCAAACCCAUGUGAACAUACCUAUCGUUGCUUCGGCGGAUCGCCCCGGGCGCCUUGCGUGCCCGGAUCCAGGCGGCCGCCGGGGGACCUUAACUCUUGUUUUACUGAGAAUCUUCUGAGUCGUUUUUACAAAUAAAUAAA
RNAcentral lists this unclassified non-coding RNA (155 nucleotides) under soil metagenome. Its description in RNAcentral is "partial internal transcribed spacer 1". The record is from RNAcentral.